Molecule: ribosomal RNA, 839 nt
Filed under: Feylinia cf. polylepis
Lineage: Eukaryota; Metazoa; Chordata; Lepidosauria; Squamata; Scincidae
Description: partial 12S ribosomal RNA
Source: RNAcentral
AAAAAGUUUUGGUCCUAAACUUUCCAUUGUUUUUAAUUAAGUUUAUACAUGCAAGCCUCCACAUACCAGUGAGAAUGCCCACCACCCCUAAACAGCCAACCGGAGCCGGUAUCAGGAACAAGAAACCCGCCAACGACACCUUGCUUUGCCACACCCCCACGGGCCUACAGCAGUAAUUAACAUUAAACCAUAAGCGAAAGCUUGAUUUGGCUAUAAUUAACGACAGUCGGUUAAUUUCGUGCCAGCCACCGCGGUUAUACGAAAGACUGGAAACAACGGCCGCCGGCGUAAAGAGUGACUAGAGAACAUCUCUCAUAUUAAAGACAAACUUAUACAAAGCCGUAAAACGCCAAUAUAGCUCAGGAAGCACGCCACCCUCUUUAAACAAAAGAUUUCUUCACCUCACUAAAGCUAAGAAACAAACUAGGAUUAGAUACCCUACUAUGCUCAGCCAUAAACAUAGACAAUACAAAUACAUAUUGUUCGCCAGAGAACUACAAGUGAAAAACUCAAAACUCCAAGGACUUGGCGGUGCCCCACACCGACCUAGAGGAGCCUGUCCUACAAUCGAUACCCCACGCUAAACCCAACCACCCCUCGCCAAUCAGCCUAUAUACCGCCGUCGUCAGCCCACCUUAUGAAAGAAGAACAGUUGGCAAGAUAGUUAACAACAAACACGUCAGGUCAAGGUGUAGCACAUGAGGUGGCAGAGAUGGGCUACAUUCUCUACUCCAGAACACACGGAUGGCAUAAUGAAACCUUAUACCUAAAGGCGGAUUUAGCAGUAAGACAAACAAGUAUUUCUGUCUUAAACCAGCUCUGGGGCGCGCACACACCGC